This 3194-nucleotide unclassified non-coding RNA is filed under the name Hevea brasiliensis (rubber tree). The record is from RNAcentral. Lineage: Eukaryota; Viridiplantae; Streptophyta; Magnoliopsida; Malpighiales; Euphorbiaceae.
GGAGUAUUAACAGGCAUAAAUUUAAUAAUUCUGUCCCUACCACUGUUAACUAGUGAUCCUAUCCAGUACAGAUCACAUAAAAGCUCUCAAGCUCUGUUAUUAAACUCUGGUGUUCAUCAAUUUCUUUCUAAAGAAAAUGACCCAGACAAGAAGAUACAGCUAUAGUUUCUGGCCGUCAAUCCAUCAUAAGUACAAUAGAUAAUAUCAUAAUAUUGAUUUCAGCUUUUUCAGUUCUAGGUCUAAAAUUUCUUCUUCAGGGCUUUUAUAGGCAUCUGCAAUAGCCUUCCCUGUAUCCAUAACGUCAGGAGCGACAGUCUGGAGGCCGCUGUAAAAUAUAAGAACUUGUCAUAUAAGGAAUUUACCUGAUUCCAUACAUACUGAAUUGUUACAGAUUUGUUGUAAGUGAUGGGAAAAAAAAAAUUCUAAAUACAUCCUGAAGACAAGAAUUAACCCCUUCGCCACAUAUCAUGUGUUACUUAGGCGCUCAGAUAAUCGAUAGCCCAGAAAAAAAAGCAUUACCUGUCGAGGGCAUCAAGGGCAAUACCUAUUUUUGCCUUCACUGAUAUGACUGAAGCUUUCUGGAUCAUUUCUUGAUACAUGCAGAAGCAAGGAAUCAAGUUCUUCCAAGGCUCUAUAAAAAUGAAAAUGCUACAACUGUAAUGGUUUAAUCGAUGCUCACUUGCAAACUUGAAUUAUUUAUACAAGCUAGCCACAUGAUCGCCACACAUGCCAUUUCAAUAAUUUUUAUUAAAAAUUAAACACAGUUUUUAAACAUGUUGUCCCUGGAUAGGUUUUCCAAACAUGAUAAUGGUGCAAAUCCUGGCCGCACUUAUCCAGUUUAUCCCAGGCAGUAAGCAUCCACGGUCUGCAAAUAGGAAGACCAAACUGGAAGAGACACUCAAUCAGAAAUCCACUGACACUCGAUCAGAAAUCCACCUUAGUAACAAAUGACAUACCUACAAUGCUUUUUGGCUUUUAAAGUGACAGAGAUUAUGGCACAGACCUCAGACAUCUAUCAACAUCAUUGAAAACAGUGUUGCCACUUCCAGCAUCUGAAGCAUAUUUUGCUACCUGAAGCUUCAUAGAAAAAUUUUCAAAGCUCAGGAACUCACGUACACAGAUACUCAAAUAUUUAUACGACGAGUCGCUGCAGGACCAGAGCGUAAUAGAAAGCAACAAUUAGCAAAUUGGAGUUGAUCAAGCUCCAAAGUUUUCUCUAUACAAGCCAAACCACAAAAACAAAAGCAUCAUGCCAAACUUUCAACAUCUUACAAAAGAUCUAAUUGAGCUACAAGUCUUGCAAACUGUAAGUAUAAAGAAAAAUUCUUUAAGCGUGUAUGGAAAAACUGAAGUUUAAGGACUGAACAAACAACAACAACAAUUAAAGCUUAAUUCCAAACUAAUUAAGACUGAUUGUAUGAAUCCUUUUUUAUCAUUCAACUCUGUGUAAGAACUGAAAGAGUAAUAUAUCCUGACCGCGUAACACUAAAAUAUUUUGUGCCACAUCUUCCACACGAUACAGAAAUUGUAUAUUUGAUCAUGAGGGAAUUACCCAAGUCCUUAAUCUGAAGCUGGGUCAAUAUGACAGCAGGACCAUAAGCCACAAAUGGGUCAAGCUUUUUCGGUUAGGGACAAGAAAGAGAUGCGAUAAGAGGAGAGAGAUGGAGACCAAUCGCCCGCUGAUCUCCGGCCACUUGGCGGGGGGACAAUGCGCACCUCACUCCACCGAAAUUCUUCCUGUGUUUUGCUGAGAUAAGAUUAAGAGAAGGGAAAAGCGAAGGAUUUCAAGGACUGAUGCUAACGUGCGCCGUGGUGUAGGAUAUUGACAUCAUAACAUGCCCGUAGUCACUAGAGCGUAGGUUCCGAGAGAAGAGUCGUCAGUGGAAGGAGAAAAAGAAAGAAAUAAAGCAAGUUCCCUAUCCCUUCCUUUCCAGCGUCCAGGUCACUACAGGUCACCCCUGAAAUGACGGAUUUACCCUCGAUUUUACUGCCAUUUUCCUCUUAACGGAGCAGUUGACCAAAAAAGAAAAAGAAUGAAAACACAAAGUAUAUGGAGGAUAGAAUUGUAAAUAGGUGAAGUCAGGUAGGAACCGAAAGCCCAGUUGGUGACGAGUCGAGAUGUCUUAAAAUCACAAGCCAAAAGCUGUACUGGUAAUAUCGAAGUAGACAUUCUACUGGCUCUUCCAUCCUUCGUUUCAUUUCCGAUCCCAUCUCACUCUCCUUAAAAUCUUUCUCCUUCUCUCUGCUCUUUGUUUCAGCUGUAAUAUAGCUUACCGCCAAUGGCUACAUUGUUUCUCAAACUCUCUCUUCUGUUCGUCUCUGUCUCUGCCAGCAUUCAUAAUGUAGUAAGAGUAACGGAUAACCCAGCUGAUCAACUGGUAGCUGUGCUUAACAGCAAUAGGACUGCACACAAGGGAUCAUCACUCUAUGACAAUCCAGGCCUAGCCUGCAUUGCAUUGCAGUACAUAAAAGCAUACCAAGGGGAUUGUGGUGCUGUAGGAGGAGCUGAUGCAAAGAAACCUGCUGAAUCUGAAUUUGCUGAAACUUUUGCUCCUGCUUGUGGCGUCACGGUCUCAACUCUCACUCCAAUCACAGGUCGUUUACUUGGCUGCCAAUCCAAAUACGUCGAUCCAGCUGAAGUAUUUUCAGAAGUUCUGAUGAAAAACAGCAAGAGCUUGGACAUUCUAUAUAAUAAGAAUCACACAGAAGUGGGAGCUGCAGUUUCAGGCACCGAUGGUGGGUCUCCCUAUUUUUGGUGUGUGUUGUUCAGCAAUGGUAAGCCUAACAGUAGCUUUGCUUUAGAGGGAGGUGUGGCUAAGGUAACAAGGCCUGGGUGCUUUAGUGGUGCUAAUGAUGAAUGUAGCGGUGCUAGCAAUUGGCCAACCCGGCCUCUUGGUCUUUGGCCCUAUGCUACCUCUGCUUCGUUUCUUCUUAUGUAUGCCUUUGGUCUAUAGAUCAUCUCUCUUGUGAAUUUAAACCAUGUUCCACUUGAUUUUCAAGACCUUUGUUCUUUGUAUUAGUUGACUUGGCCCUCGGUAAUUGUUUGUUGUAAUUCAUUUUCUGUUUAUUGUUUCAUGUCAUGGUGAGCUUAAGAGCAGAACAAUACAAUACUAUGCCAUUCAUUUUCUUUAGUUAUGUGAUCUCUUCAAUUGUAAUAUUCCAAGUCACUUGAAUCUGCUCAAAGAAGCAUUUCC